Molecule: ribosomal RNA, 494 nt
Filed under: uncultured bacterium
Lineage: Bacteria
Description: partial 16S ribosomal RNA
Rfam family: Bacterial small subunit ribosomal RNA
Source: RNAcentral
GACGAACGCUGGCGGCGUGCUUAACACAUGCAAGUCGAACGGAAAGGCCUGCUUUCCCUUGUGGAUUGCGGGUACUCGAGUGGCGAACGGGUGAGUAACACGUGAGUGAUCUGCCCCCAACUUGGGUAUAAGCCUGGGAAACUGGGUCUAAUUCCCGAUAGGACUGCAGGGUGGUGCCUGUGGUGGAAAACGAUUUUCUAGUGGUUGGGGAUGAGCUCGCGGCCUAUCAGCUUGUUGGUGGGGUAAUGGCCUACCAAGGCGGCGACGGGUAGCCGGCCUGAGAGGGUGGACGGCCACAUUGGGACUGAGAUACGGCCCAGACUCCUACGGGAGGCAGCAGUGGGGAAUAUUGCACAAUGGGCGGAAGCCUGAUGCAGCGACGCCGCGUGGGGGAUAACGGCCUUCGGGUUGUAAACUCCUUUCGACCGCGAGGAAGCCACCUGGUUGGAAGGGUGGUGACGGUAGUGGUAGAAGAAGCACCGGCUAACUACGUG